This 232-nucleotide ribosomal RNA is filed under the name uncultured bacterium. Its description in RNAcentral is "partial 16S ribosomal RNA". It matches the Rfam family "Bacterial small subunit ribosomal RNA", at positions 124 to 354 of the family's 1533-position model. The record is from RNAcentral.
UACUGCCUAUCAGAGGGGAAUAACAGUGAGAAAUCAUUGCUAAUACCGCAUAUGCCAUAAUUAUCGCAUGAUAGUAGUGGGAAAGAAGCAAUUCGCUGAUAGAUGAGCUUGCGUCUGAUUAGCUAGUUGGUGGGGUAAAGGCCUACCAAGGCGACGAUCAGUAGCCGGACUGAGAGGUUGGACGGCCACAUUGGGACUGAGAUACGGCCCAGACUCCUACGGGAGGCAGCAG